Molecule: ribosomal RNA, 454 nt
Filed under: uncultured bacterium
Lineage: Bacteria
Description: partial 16S ribosomal RNA
Rfam family: Bacterial small subunit ribosomal RNA
Source: RNAcentral
GAUGAACGCUGACAGAAUGCUUAACACAUGCAAGUCAACUUGAACUUCGGUUUGGGUGGCGGACGGGUGAGUAACGCGUAAAGAACUUGCCUCACAGCUAGGGACAACAUUUGGAAACGAAUGCUAAUACCUGAUAUUAUGAUUAUAUGGCAUCGUAUAAUUAUGAAAGCUAUAUGCGCUGUGAGAGAGCUUUGCGUCCCAUUAGCUAGUUGGAGAGGUAACAGCUCACCAAGGCGAUGAUGGGUAGCCGGCCUGAGAGGGUGAUCGGCCACAAGGGGACUGAGGCACGGCCCUUACUCCUACGGGAGGCAGCAGUGGGGAAUAUUGGACAAUGGACCGAGAGUCUGAUCCAGCAAUUCUGUGUGCACGAUGAAGUUUUUCGGAAUGUAAAGUGCUUUCAGUUGGGAAGAAAAAAAUGACGGUACCAACAGAAGAAGUGACGGCUAAAUACGUG